GUGACAUCUCACUUAUGACCACUCAGGCAUCACGGGUGACUACCCAGGCUUCAAUGACAACAGCUAAGUGACAUCUCACUUAUGAGCAGAGGUGCUUCGGUAAUGACUGGUCAUGCUUGGUGGAGGAUGACCGGUGGUGACAAACCGGAGGAAACUCUCAUCGUUUACGUACUGUGAUUCACCGUCAGCAAGGAACUGAUCAUUCUGCUCGUCGGAGAGCCGUCGCCAUGACAAUCCCAUCAUGCCCUGAAAUCCACAGGCAAGUACAAGGAAUGCAAUAGAAGCGAGAGCACUGGCACAGUACUCUCUGUGGCACCAUGACAACAGCCCUGUCCCAUUCUAACAUCGGCAGGGGAGUGAAGCCUGGCGCAGGACAGAAGCAAAGCUGCAGACAAACUACUAAUGAUUUCUUAUUCAAUAAAACCAACUUCACUGUACUUACAAAUAGUUAUAGCUAUGAUUAUAAAAUGGCUCGGAUAUUUUAUGCAUCAUGAUUGGUCAAAACGCGUCACGUGACAUGCCGUUGUUGUUGUUAUAAUGCACGCCAAACCGUGUCAAAAAGCGCGCAAAAAAAGUUAUAUUGCACGCUCGCGAUUAUGUUAACAUUUACAAUAAUUAAGCAUCAAACUGAAAUUUUCGAGAUGUAGAUUUAUUUACUAUAGUAUUGAUUUUCUAGACUGUUUAUCUAGACUUACUGUUAAAUUGUUAUAGCGUGUGUCGCAAUUUAAUCAACUGUAAAUGUGUUUGAUUUUGACUUUUGGAACUGGAAUAAAUUUUCGAGAUCUAGCCUUACUAUUUAUUUUCUAGACUAUUUAUCUAGACUGUUUAUCUAGACAUACUGUUAAUUGUGUGUGAAGCAAUUUACUAAACUGUAAAUGUGUUUAAUUGUUUUGACGUUUGGAAUUGAAAUAAAUUUUCGUGAUCUAGA
Priapulus caudatus is the source of this 928-nucleotide long non-coding RNA. RefSeq lists it as uncharacterized. The transcript is spliced from 2 exons. The record is from RefSeq and is a predicted model, not a curated record. Lineage: Eukaryota; Metazoa; Priapulida; Priapulimorpha; Priapulimorphida; Priapulidae.